CAGCAGUCGCCGCGGGAAUACGUAGGUGGCAAGCGUUGUCCGGAAUUAUUGGGCGUAAAGGGCUCGCAGGCGGUUUCUUAAGUCUGAUGUGAAAGCCCCCGGCUCAACCGGGGAGGGUCAUUGGAAACUGGGAAGCUUGAGUGCAGAAGAGGAGAGUGGAAUUCCACGUGUAGCGGUGUAAUGCGUAGAGAUGUGGAGGAACACCAGUGGCGAAGGCGACUCUCUGAUCUGUAACUGACGCUGAGGAGCGAAAGCGUGGGGAGCGAACAGGAUUAGAUACCCCCGUAGUCCCUGUCUCUUAUAC
RNAcentral lists this ribosomal RNA (304 nucleotides) under uncultured bacterium. Its description in RNAcentral is "partial 16S ribosomal RNA". It matches the Rfam family "Bacterial small subunit ribosomal RNA", at positions 509 to 807 of the family's 1533-position model. The record is from RNAcentral.